UGAAAUGAGAGACAUGGCAGAACCCCAAAAAAAAGACCCCCCCUUCGAAAACGACAAAUCUCUCAUUUUUCAAAAGAAAUUGGCCCCCUCACUGGAGUGACGAAAUUGUGAUCCUAGCUGAAGGUAUUUUCCGGUCAAAGUUGUGGUCUGUUUUCGAGUUUACGUCGAGGUUUCUAAUAUGCGUUCGUUGAGGGUUUUCGGCGAGACUUUUCUGUCCAUGUCCUAUUUUUCUUUUAUUGCUAUACUGGACAGUCGCUUGGCUUAUUGUACAUUGAAUUGGAGUUUUCGGCUAAUACAAGGUCUUUCUUUCCCUCUCUCAAUAUUUCUACUUUUUAUUUUCAUGAUAUUUGCUGGAAUUUUAUCUACAUUAAUUAAUGAAUGUUUAAGCUAAAGUGAUAGUUUUGUUAUUAUGUGGAUAGUUUUGUUAUUAUGUGGCUACAAAUAUGCUAAAAUCGUGAAGCUGAAGUUGUUUCAUGGGUUUGACACAUUUGUUUAGUUUUAAAAGUUUGAUGUCAUAUAUAGCGAUAUCUUUAAAUGUUUUCUUGUUGCAAGUUAUUUAUUUCAUGUGCAAUCCAUUUGAAUGCUUGAGAUAUGGACGUCACACCUAGAAUUAGGUUUCAUGAACAUAUAUUUUGGUAAGAUAAGAUUUGAAAAAAGAAGCAAAAUCGGGUAACUCAAAUGGUUUGGAUUUGGGCCGUUGGAUGGUUUUGAAAUAUAGUAUUUGGGUUCUGAUUUGAAAUUCAGAAGAUUUAGACCCUAUAAUAAGUUUGGGGCUUUAGUUGUUGGGCUGUAGAAUCUUGAUACAUACUCGCCAAUUUAUUUCAAUAGCUAGCUUAUCAUUUCUUUUUUGCAAUAGCUAAAAUCAUACAUAUCUUUCCCCAAUGUUAUAUCCAUAAAUCAUGACCUCACAACAAUCUCAAAGUAGCUUAAGAAUAAUACAUGAAUACUAUAGCUUGCUUUAGGUGCGAUUAAUGAUUAAUAAAUUAUCGUGGCCAUGGGUACGUUUCCCGUGACAUAGUCAUGAUACUUAAUCCCCAACUCGGGUGUGCAUUUCAUGUGACCCGACCAUAACUUCGAACAAUAAUAAAAUACACAUGUUGUAGAUCAUGGGUACGGUUCCUCUGACGCGAUUCGCAAUAUGUACAAAAAUAAACAAGUGUACGACAAUCGUGACUUGUUCCAUAAAUAACUCCAUAAAUCAUUAAAAGCGGUAUAAAGUUAAAAAUACACAAUAGGUUUAAAACAUAUAAUAAAUCAGAUAAUUAGGCCAAUUAUUAAUAGUUGAGCGACCGUGCUAAAACCACAGAACUCAGGAGUGCCUAACACCUUCUCCCGGGUUAACAAAAUUCCUUACCCGGUCUUUUGUGUUUGCGGACCAAAAAUAUAGUCAAUUUUCCUCGAUUUAGGAUUUAAAAUAAACCGGUGACUUGGGACACCAUAAAUUAUUCCAAGUGGCAACUCUGAAAUAAAUAAAAUAAUCCCAAUUCAAUUAAUGUCACUUAAUUUUGAAAAGUUUCCUUAUAUCCCCAUGCGGGAAAAAAAAAGGUGUGAUAGGCAUGCCUUAUUCAAAUCCAUAUAAUCUACACACAUUCUAAGCUUGUUUCCUUUAUUAGGUACGACUACUACGUUAGCUAACCAAUCCGGGUAUUCAACUUCCCAAAUUGAACCUAUUUUUAAAUGUUUAGAUACCUCCUAUUUGAUUAACGCGUGCCUGAUUUCGGACUGCGGCCUACUCUUUUGUUUGACCGAGUGAAAUUUUGGAUCCAAGCGUAAUUUGUAAGUUGUUAUCUUCGGCGUGUCAGAUCUAAGUGAGACUAGGCAAAACAAUGGACAUUAGCUUUAAGGAAAUGAAUGAUUUUUUUCCUAAGCUCGAUGGUUAGUCCCGAGCCCAGGUAUACCUUUCUGUUCGGUAGGUGCUUGAUUAAUAAGACUUGUUCCAGUUCCUCGAUCUUCAACUUGGAGGCAUCGGUAUCAGCGGGCGCUAUGAAGGAUCUUAGGACCCCGAAGUCAUCUUCCUCAUCCGUUGGGCGAUGCUCCUAUUUUUCUGGCCCGGUCAGGGUCAGGAACAGUGAUUUCUAUUUGGUGCUUUUCUCUUUGACCAGUCCCUCAUUUCUUGAUGUCGUGAUUGCGGACACCAGACUCAGUUUCUCGACAACGAACAUCUCCUUUGCGGUCGGUUGUUCCCUAUAAACUCAACACUUGGUGCAAAGCUAACGGUACCAUUCUCAUGCUAUGGACCCAUGGUCUCCCGAAUAAGGCAUUGUAUCUCCUAUCCACUUUGAUUACAUAGAUCUUUGUCUCCUGAGUAGUUUUGGCUAUAUUGACCAGUAGGGUGAUUUCACCCUUCGCUGUCUCGCAAGCUAUAUUGAACCCAUUCAAUACUUAACUGCUGGUACGAUCUGAUCCAACAGCCCCAGUUGCUCCGCGACUCUCCAUUGGAUAAUAUUGGAUGAGCUACCUGGAUCAAUUAACACAUGCUUAACUCUAGAUGUAUUAAUGAGUAUAGAUAUUACCAGUGCAUGUUGUUAUGAGCACUUAAUUUUUGACCAUAUUUGAAAUUUUCACCACCAUUUAGUAUGUAAAUAUUUUUUAAGUUUAAUCUAUAUUUUUUAGUUUUUGUUUUACCUUUUAUAACUUUUAUUUAAGAAAAUUUAAAAUGAUAAAAAAGAGUCACAUUUCUAAACAAAUUUAACCUUCAUUUACAAAGAAAGAAAAAUUUUCAAAAAAUAAUCGUUUUUAAUCUAGUUUAGUCUAACUUUUAGAGAUGGAAGUUUCAAUAAGAAAAUUUUGAGAGAUUAGUAUGUUGUAUUGCUAUUCUAGUUUAGUAGGAGUAGUAUAUUUAUUUUUAUCAGCAAAAGAAAAAUCAAAAUCAUUAAAAGAGAAAUAAACAAUUAAAAGUGGCCACAUGAAAGAUUUCAUCUUAUGUACUCAAACUAAUUCACUUGCACCAAAGUUCCACACCUAAUAUCACCUGCCUUUUGUCAUCUUUGUCCACUCGAUAAAAUUUAUUGAGUGCAUCUAAAAUAUAUUCCCUCAAAGAAUGCAAAAUAUAUUUCUUUCUCCUCAAGAUUUCUUUCUCAGGUUCUCACACUAUAUAAAAGACACAUACACAACAAAAGAGAGGGGGAAGAAGAAAUAUAGAGCACCAAAGAAGAAUAGAGUAGAAGCCCCAAAAUCCUCUUCUUCCCCCAUUGCAAUCCGCUGAAACCAACCAAGAAAACACCUAUGUUUCUCACACCAAAACCAGCUCCUUUCUUCACCUAAACAUCACCCAAAAGCUAACAUGUAGCUACCACAAAAAUCAGCUCAAACACAAUCCUAAAAUUAGCAACAAUGAGCUGAAAAAUAGUCACGAAAAUCAGCCAAAAACCAGCUCUCCUCACCUUAAAACAAUCCCAAAGAAAAUAGUUAAAACCACCUUUGAACUUCAGCAAAAUCCAGCCAAAAAAUCCACCAAAAAUAGCCAGUAAACGCUGCUAAACCAAUAGCAAAACGACCCAGAAACAACAGCUCAAACCACUAUCAUUUGAGCCGAACAACCGUCAAAACAACCCAUGUUUCAUACCACAAAUUCCACCUCACAAUAACCAUGAAACCUCAGCCUUAAACAUCCUGCAAAAACCAGUGGAAACAAUUCAUUACAACCCCAUUUUUUGGACUUAAAAUUGUGCCAAAAGUGGAUAUUCGAGCUUGCCGUUGAGGUCUCGAGUGGAUGGUUCCGUCCGAGGUCAUAGGCAAAUUUUCGGUUCAAGAGUUGCAUAAAUCUUCAAGUUGAUGUAGUCUAAGAUGAAAGCUAAUAAAAAAUCCAAUUUUUAUCCCCUUUCUCAAUAGUAUGUUUGCUCUAGUUGCUCUUUGUCAAAUGCUCUGUUUGUUCCUAUGUUCAGAUAAAUAUUUCUUGUUUCGAUUUAUUUAAUUGAUCUGGUAUAUUGAGGCCUCGUUUACAUUAAUAACAUAAAAUUUAGUAGGUAAUCUCUUUAGUUUGAUUAUGUUUAUGAGUUGAAUGCUAAGUAGGCUACCGUUUGAUUUUGCACAUCAAAAUGGACCAUUAGCUAAGAAUAAAUGGGGACGUGAGGUUCAUUUUCAAAGAUCAUAAAUGGGCCAUUUGUUGGGUUUUAUAGAUAAAAUAAUAAUUUUGUGGCUAAAUAAGUUUAGUAUGCUAGAUCCAUUAACCUCAUAUAACUGCCCUCUUAUUAUUCCUUAAAUAAUCUAAACAAUUCAUGAAUAUGCGUAAAAUGCUUUAGGCGCACUUUAAUCCAUUAUCGUGAUUAUGUAUACGUUCGUGUGACAUAAAUAUGAUCCCAAAAAGUAAAUCAAGGUACGCGUUGACACGACUUUGGCCAAACAAUCUUAAUAAAUGAUAAAGUAUUAUUAAUUGUGUACAUGUAUGCGUGACAUAAUUUUUAGCACACUAAGUUAAACAGAUUCACGCAGGUGAUUCGUUUCAAGAUAAUCCCAAAAUGCCAUAAUCAAGUAACUAAAAAGAGGUAAAAGGUAAAAUAUACAUACAAUCUGAAUUAUGUAAUAAUCAAUUAAUUAAGCCAUGUUAUGAUUAUGAAGUGACCGUGCUAGAACCAUGGAACUCGGAAAUGGCUAACACCUUCUCCCGGGUUAACAAAACACCUUGCUCGAUCUUCUGUGUUUCGCAUACUUUAAACAGAGUCAAAACUUUCUUGAUUUGAGAUUUAAAAUAAAUGGUGAUUUGGGACACUUUAAAUAAUUAUUCCAUGUGGCGACUCUUCUAAAUAAAUAAAAUAAUCUCAUUUCCUUAAUAUUACUUAAAUUGGAAAAAUUGCUUUUCCUAAAAAAAGGAGAUGUGACAGUUGUGAGGUUGGAUUACGCCCUCGGCGUCCUCGUCGCUAAAUGAGAUGGAUCCCUCUGGAAUAUAACCUCGAGUUCAUUUUUCUUUUGUGAUAAAAAAUUUGGUGAGUUCUAUCAUUGUCCCUUAUGGAACAUCUACCCUUCCAUUCAUCAUGUUAAUCACACGUUGAGGUUUUUCUUGCUUGAUUUGUUUGUUGGUGUCCCUAAUAUUUAAAUGGUUUUUGGACUGUUCACUUAUCAAUUCCCGAAGAUGCCCAAAGUUGAACAGACGAGUCAUUUGUCUGUGAUAUCUUGUAAGUUUCCCCGAAUAACACAUUUUUGAUGUCCAAGAAUGAAGUUCCAAACUCUAAUUAAAAAAAUGUGAUAACCCGGCUAGUCGUCUCGUGAGUUACCGCUCUGUUUUUCCCAUUUUUGCUUCUUAUUGCUUUGUCUAUUGGUUCUAUAUCUGAUCGGGUUGGUUGACUCGGGUUCAGAAAGGAUUUGAUAAGGUUUGAGACACUUAGUCUCUUUUGAGGAUGCUUGAGUUGGAAAAAGUCAACCGGAUGUUGACUUAUAUGUUAGACGGCUCGGACGUGAGUUCUGAUGUUUCGGAUAGCUUUGGGAGGUGAUUUGGGACUUAGGAGCGUGAUGAAAUGUGUUUUGGAUGUCCGAAGUAGAUUUAGGCUUGAAUUGGCGAAACUGAAUUUUUGGCGUUUUCCGGUUGAUAGAUGAGAUUUUGAUAUAGGGGUUGGAAUUGAAUUCCAAGAGUUGCAGUAGUUCCGUUGUGUCAUUUGGGAUGUGUGUGCGAAAUUUCAGGUCAUUCGGAUGUGGUUUGGUUGGUUUUUUUUUAUCAAAAGCAGAACUCGAAAGAUUUUUGGAAACUAAGGCUUGAAUCCGAUGUGUUUUGGUUGAUUCGAUGUUGUUUGAGGUGUUUUGAAGGUUGGUAUAAGUUUGAAUAAGUUUAUGGGGUAUGUUUAUGUUUUUGGUUAAGGUCCCGGGGCCUCGGGGUGAUUUCGAAUGGUUGACGGAGAAGUUUUGAAUUUUGGUGAAGCUGCAGAUUUGCAGCUUCUGUUUUUCCGCACCUGCGGAUUGGGGACCGCAAGUGCGACGCCGCAGAUGCGGAGAAUUGGUCACAGAAGUGGAGAUAGGAUAGAAAGGCUAUGAAAGCAAAAGCAGUUGGUGAACCACACUUGCGAUGUCACAGGUGCGGCUUGUGCAUCACAGAUGCGGAAAGUGGGACUUAAGUGACGACCGCAGAUGUGGUGGUCUUGACCGCAGAUGCGGGAAUUGGGCCGCAGAUGCGAAAUCCCUAGGCCAGAACAUAUAAAUUAUUUCCUUCACAAUUUUUGAGCUAUUCCACCAUUUUUAAGUCGGCUUUUGGAGCUUUUUUGGACGAUUUUGAAGAAGGAUUUCAAGGGAACUUCAUUGCGGUAAGGAUUUUGGACCUAAAACUCGUUCCUAUAAUAUUAUUUCGCGGAUUAGAGCUAUAAUUAAUGGAAUUUAAGGGUUAAAAUUGGGGAAACUAGGGCUUGGUAUUGGAUACCAAGACUUGAGGAUUUGAGGGACCAUUUGUGGUCGGAUUUUGGUACUUUUGAUAUGUAUGAACUCGUGGGGAGAUGGGGAAUCUAUUAAUGUGAAUUUUAUCGAAUUAUGAGACGUGGGCCCGGGGGUUGGGUGUUGGUAAUUUCGGGAUUUAAGUUGUAAAUUGAUUAUUUUCGCUUAGGCUUCGUUCCCUUAGUAUAUUUUGACGUCGUGAUUCUGAUUUUGGAUAGAUUCAACACGAGUGAAGGCUGAUUUGAGGGGAAGAGGCAUCGCGGGCUAGAGAUUUAACCGUAUUGAGGUGAGUAAUGAUUGUAAAUGAUAUCCUAAGGGUAUGAAACCCCGAAUUGUACAUCGUUGUGCUAUAUUGAGGUGACUCACACGCUUGAUGACGAACGUGGAGUCGUGCACUGUUGGGGAUUGUGACUUAAUCCAUCCCGAAUGACUAUUUUACCGUGUAUUUGAUUGAAAUCUAUUUGUGAACACCAUGUUUUGGGAUGAAUGCCAUAUUUGGGUCUCGUGCCAACUAUUUGAACCCUUAGGGGAUUUUAUUGAUAUUACCUCACUGUUUUGACUUUAUACUUGAACUCAGUCAUGCUAUAUUCCACUGUUUUCAUAACUCAGCCAUGAUUACUCUGUUUUAAUACUUAAAUGAUAUUUUGGGCUGAGAACCAUGUUUUACUGUGGCUUGUGAGGAUUUUGACUGAGUAAGGCUGAGGGCCUAUGUUGUGAGGAAACACUGAUUAUGAUUAUGAGGCCGAGAGCCUGAGAUAUAUACGCCACGAGGUGGCUUUUUGAUAUGAGGCCGAGAGCCUAGUGAUGAUGCCACGAGAUGGCUUGAUAUUAUGCUUGGGCCAUAAGUGGCCCCUCCAGGAGUCUACAUACCCCCAGAGAGCGCGAGUACCCAUUGUGAUGUGCGUUAUGGCUCGAGGGGCUGGUAUAGUUCUGAGAUAUUGCCUGAGGGGCGGAUUUGUUAAUAUUGAGCCUGAGGGGCGAACCUUUAUGUGUUUAUCUUUCGUAAUUGCCUGUCAUUUACCUUCUUAAUUGUUGAAAAGGUUUUUCACAAAGUUUAAGUUGAACUUAAAUGACUCUUACAUAUCCUUACUAAUUUACUGUUUUACUGGCUUUUACUACUUCAUUAUAGCCUGUAAUGUGACUUACGUAUUUUCAUAUCUCUCAGUCGUUUAUUUAUGAUUAUUACUCACUGAGUUGGAGUACUCACUUUACUUCCUGCACCCCGUGUGCAGAUGCAUGCAUUGUUGAUCCUGCUAGCGAGAGUUGAGAGCUCCCGGCAAACUUCGGAGUUCACGAGGUAGCUGCUUGGUGUCUGCAGUCCCGUAUUUCUCCCUCCCUUAUUUCAUUUCUUUUCCCUUAUUAAUGGGUUUGUAAUAGCUUUGUAGACUUUUCAGACUUCUGUUAAAAUUGAUAGAUGCUCGUGACUAGUGACACCUCGGUAUCGGGCUGUAUUAGGUUGUAUUCCGCAAAUUGUUUGUAUUGUCACUGCUUACUUUUUGAUUUAUAUCAUGUUUAAGACUAAACGCUUAUUUUUAAUUG
This 7890-nucleotide long non-coding RNA is filed under the name Nicotiana tabacum (common tobacco). Its description in RNAcentral is "long non-coding RNA (NTAB_LNC011755)". The record is from RNAcentral. Lineage: Eukaryota; Viridiplantae; Streptophyta; Magnoliopsida; Solanales; Solanaceae.